Molecule: transfer RNA, 68 nt
Filed under: Lachancea kluyveri
Lineage: Eukaryota; Fungi; Ascomycota; Saccharomycetes; Saccharomycetales; Saccharomycetaceae
Description: partial transfer RNA
Source: RNAcentral
CCAGGGGAGGUCNAACUCUCGACCUUCAGAUUAUGAGACUGACGCUCUUCCGACUGAGCUACUGAAGC